UUUUACUCUCAUAGAGACCUUCCACAGCUCGGUACAAAGCAAAUAUUCACACUUUGGUUCACCUACCGCAACAUACCUCACUCUACCUCACUCGACAACCACCACUACACCUUGCUUGACUAACACAGCCAUCUUACACUCAAUUUUCGAGACAUACAAGACUCUAAUGCAACAUGCAAUGACUUGUAGCUUCAAUUUAGUACUCAUCUAGCUCAAUCCAACACAAAACAGCAA
Molecule: long non-coding RNA, 234 nt
Filed under: Eucalyptus grandis
Lineage: Eukaryota; Viridiplantae; Streptophyta; Magnoliopsida; Myrtales; Myrtaceae
Description: long non-coding RNA (EGRA_LNC004496)
Source: RNAcentral